AGUGAACGCUGGCGGUAGGCCUAACACAUGCAAGUCGAACGGCAGCACAGUAAGAGCUUGCUCUUACGGGUGGCGAGUGGCGGACGGGUGAGGAAUACAUCGGAAUCUACUUUUUCGUGGGGGAUAACGUAGGGAAACUUACGCUAAUACCGCAUACGACCUACGGGUGGAAGCAGGGGAUCUUCGGACCUUGCGCGAUUGAAUGAGCCGAUGUCGGAUUAGCUAGUUGGCGGGGUAAAGGCCCACCAAGGCGACGAUCCGUAGCUGGUCUGAGAGGAUGAUCAGCCACACUGGAACUGAGACACGGUCCAGACUCCUACGGGAGGCAGCAGUGGGGAAUAUUGGACAAUGGGCGAAAGCCUGAUCCAGCCAUACCGCGUGGGUGAAGAAGGCCUUCGGGUUGUAAAGCCCUUUUGUUGGGAAAGAAAAGCAGCAGGUUAAUACCCCGCUGUUCUGACGGUACCCAAAGAAUAAGCACCGGCUAACUUCGUG
This 492-nucleotide ribosomal RNA is filed under the name uncultured bacterium. RNAcentral describes it as "partial 16S ribosomal RNA". It matches the Rfam family "Bacterial small subunit ribosomal RNA", at positions 29 to 507 of the family's 1533-position model. The record is from RNAcentral.